RNAcentral lists this ribosomal RNA (109 nucleotides) under Oncorhynchus kisutch (coho salmon). Lineage: Eukaryota; Metazoa; Chordata; Actinopteri; Salmoniformes; Salmonidae. The record is from RNAcentral.
GCUUACGACCACACCGGCCUGAGUACGCCUGAUCUCGGAAGCUAAGCAGGGUCGGGCCUGGUUAGUACUUGGAUGGGAGACCGCCUGGGAAUACCAGGUGCUGUAAGCU